UACAGAGGGUGCAAGCGUUAAUCGGAAUUACUGGGCGUAGGUGGUUUGUUAAGUUGGAUGUGAAAUCCCCGGGCUCAACCUGGGAACUGCAUUCAAAACUGACUGACUAGAGUAUGGUAGAGGGUGGUGGAAUUUCCUGUGUAGCGGUGAAAUGCGUAGAUAUAGGAAGGAACACCAGUGGCGAAGGCGACCACCUGGACUGAUACUGACACUGAGGUGCGAAAGCGUGGGGAGCAAACAGG
This 242-nucleotide ribosomal RNA is filed under the name uncultured Pseudomonas sp. RNAcentral describes it as "partial 16S ribosomal RNA". It matches the Rfam family "Bacterial small subunit ribosomal RNA", at positions 524 to 776 of the family's 1533-position model. Lineage: Bacteria; Pseudomonadati; Pseudomonadota; Gammaproteobacteria; Pseudomonadales; Pseudomonadaceae. The record is from RNAcentral.